Molecule: transfer RNA, 93 nt
Filed under: Blastomyces percursus
Lineage: Eukaryota; Fungi; Ascomycota; Eurotiomycetes; Onygenales; Ajellomycetaceae
Rfam family: tRNA
About the family: Transfer RNA (tRNA) molecules are approximately 80 nucleotides in length. Their secondary structure includes four short double-helical elements and three loops (D, anti-codon, and T loops).
Source: Rfam by way of RNAcentral
GGGGUGAUAGCUCAGUUGGGAGAGCGUACGACUGAAGCUCAACUUUUGUUUUCUAUAAUCGUAAGGCCGCCGGUUCAAUCCCGGCUCGCCCCA